GACGAACGCUGGCGGCGUGCUUAACACAUGCAAGUCGAACGAAGAGCGAUGGACGCUUGCUUCUAUCAAUCUUGGUGGCGCACGGGUGAGUAACGCGUAAUCAACCUUCCCUUUAGGGGGGGACCACAGUUGGUAACGACUACUAAUAACGCCUCCGCUCCAAUGUUGGCAUGGGGGCUAGAUGACAGGUGGCCUCUAUUUAUAGGCUCUCACUGCAGGUGGGGAUUGCGGCUGUUUAGCUAGUUGGAAGGGUAAGGUCCCACCAUGGCGAGGAAGAGUAGCAGGACUGAGAGGAUGGGUGGCCACAUUGGGACUGUGAACGGGCACAGACGCCUACGGGAGGCAGCAAGGGGGAAUCUGCCGCAAGGGACGAAAGUCUGACGGAGCAACGCGGCGGGAGUGAGGACGGCCUUCGGGUUGUAAAGCUCUGUUAAUCGGGACGAAUGGUUCUUGGGCGAAUAGUGCGCGGAUUUGACGGUACCGGAAUAGAAAGCCACGGCUAACUACGUG
This 510-nucleotide ribosomal RNA is filed under the name uncultured bacterium. RNAcentral describes it as "partial 16S ribosomal RNA". It matches the Rfam family "Bacterial small subunit ribosomal RNA", at positions 28 to 507 of the family's 1533-position model. The record is from RNAcentral.